Molecule: long non-coding RNA, 3511 nt
Filed under: Homo sapiens (human)
Lineage: Eukaryota; Metazoa; Chordata; Mammalia; Primates; Hominidae
Description: HSALNT0252447
Source: RNAcentral
CACGGCUAGAAUAAAGCAGGCAGAAGAAUUUGGAAGGACUUCAUUUGAUGAGUCUUCUGGCCCUCAUCUUUCUCCAGUGGUGGAUGCUUCCUCUCCUCAAACAUUGGACUCCAAGUUCUUCAGCUUUUGUACUCUUGGACUUAUACCUUGGACUUGGACUUACAUCUUGAACUUGGUUUACCAGGGGCUGAAGGCUGCGCUGUCGGCUUCCCUACUUCUGAGGUUUUGGGACUUGAACUGGCUUCCUUGUGCUUCAGCUUGCAGAUGGCCUAUGAUGGGACUUCAUUUUGUGAUCAUCAAAAUGGCUGGCACAAAGUCAAUGAUGCAAACCAAAUGUGGAGUGUGCAGAGCAGAGAUUGAUCUUGGGCAGCACUGAGUCCUGCAAGCUGUGAACAAUCAAUCAUUUCAUUCAAAGGAAGAGUGAAAUGAGACUUGAUAGUAAUGCUGUGCGCAUACAUACAGCGUUGGACAUCUAGCUUGAAGAAUGACUCAGAAUAUAAUAUUAAGAUACCAGAGGGCAAAGUCAAGAGCCGUGGACAUUUGUUCCCAGAAAGUGGGUCUGAACUCCUUUCAAGGAAUGCUAUGAACCAGUGACUGCUGUGUAAUUCUGACACACUUGAAAGAAGUUUGACUACCUCAAGGCCAUUAUGCCCAUAAGACCUUAUCCAGAUGCUCUGCCAGAACCAGCUGAGGCCAGCCUCCCCUUCCCCCAUUAAAGACUAUGAUAUGUAAGUGAAGAUAUCUUGGAACCAACCAACCGCCCCUUCCACCAUCUGAAUAACAUCAAAUAUCCUCAGUCAAGCUAAUACAGAAAAAAAUGAAUCAGCAAGCUUACCUCUGCUGGAAUUUCUGACCACAAAACAAUGAGAUAGAGCAAAAUGAGUACUGUCUUAAGCCACUGAGUUUUGGGAGAGUUUCUUAUCCAGCAAUAGAUAACUAGAGCAAUAGGCAUUAGGUUAUUCUAAAUUUUUGGCAGACUAUUUGGUGAAUAUUUUUGUAUAUCUCCAGAUAUGUUUCCGCAAUAGUUUUUCAAUACCACUUUGGUACUGUUUCAAGCUUUCAUCUAUCUAUACCUCUCCACAGAGUAUAUUUUUCAUAGUUUUAAAUACAUCUAUAAGACAGUAACUCACAAAUAUUAUCUUCACUCAUAAUCUCUCCUCCAAGCUGCUGACAUAUAUUUUCCCAUUUUACUUCAAUAUUUGAGUGUUUAUGUACAAUGUACAAAUUAGUACAUUUAGAAUUUAACUCCUGGUUUUUCUCUUAUUCAAUAAAUAAACAAACAAACAAACCAUUCCACCAUAUGUGCUUCUCUCUAAUUUUUCUCCAAUCCUAGUAAAUGUCACUUCCAUGCAUCUAUUUCUGAAAACUGGUUAUCUGCCAGUCUCCAAUUUCCCUCUCCACACUAAUCAUUUCACCAUCAAAUAUAUCACAAAUUCAUCUAAUUAUUUUCCUCCCAAGAGGCCUUCUCUAACUACAAUACCUAAAAUACACAGUCAUUCUUUAUUCUCUAACACUCAGUCAUACUGUAUUUCAAUUCCCUAUUUAAUCUUCUUCAUAGAACUUAAAAUAGGUGCAAUUAUACUAUCUAGCUGUUUACUUAUUUAUAUGUUUGUUAUCUGUCUGUGCCUAACACAAUAUAAUUUUCCUAAGGACAAGUAUUCUCUUGUUCUUGCUAAUCAUGUUAUUAUAAAGACAAGAAGAGUAACUUGCAUUUUUGUAGAUGACUUAUAAAACACUAAAUAAAAUGAAUAAACUUGCACUGUCAUUACCUAUGACAUCACCUACAGAUCACUUUAGUAACCUUUUAAUUGAUGUCCUUGCUUUCACGUUGUCUUCCUUCAAAUAACCAUUUAUAGCUUCACUAUCCACUUCCAGGGCUUCCCAACAGUUUCUUUUUAAUUAUUUCAAAUAUUACCUUAAAAUUUAUUUUUCUCAAAGACAUACCAAGAAGAAAAUUCUUCAUGGGCUAAGAAGAAAAUUAUAUAGUAUAUAUGCUAGCAAUAUUCAAUUUAGACAACUGUCAAAGUGCCUAAGCAUGAUUUAAAAGAUGGUGCAGGAUUUAUCCUUUUCAACUUUAAGGUUUCAACUUAAAUAUUUUUCUAAGAAGGUCAUUAAAACCAUCAAUCCACCCGCAACCAAACAGUGCUUGUCAUGCACUCUAGUGUCCAGCACAGAGUGUGGCACAUAGUAGGUACUCAACAAAUAAUGGAUGAAUAUAUUCAUUGAUCAAGGAACUAAUAAAAUCAUAUUAAAUAAACAGGUAUAUGAAGAAUAAAUCAAAACUGCAGAUAUGAUGCAAUAGCUUCUUUCCCCCUAAAAAUGGUAUUAAAUGAUUAGUACCUUGUAGUAUAAUUUUCAAUUUAGGAAAUACUAGAUGAUUUAAUUAAUGUACUUUUAAAUCCCUGGGAUCUGAAAAAGAGAAAAUAUAUACUAUAAGGCAAUUAAUGCAGAGUUUAAUGCAUGCAUCUUGAAGCAAUGUUUUAUUAUUUCCUAUAUAUGUAACAAAAAAGCUAUAGGAAUAGAUAUCAAAGAGACUUCAUGCUUAAACAAAAUUGAAUGUGUUUUUAAGAAAGCUCUGAUUCUAUGUUUAAAUAACUCCUUGCAAUUACUGACCUUCUGCUAUAGUUAGAUUAUUUCAGAUUGUUUUCUCACAUUAAAUUAAUUUUCAUUACCAUUCCUACUGCCUUGCUAAUUAAAAAUCUAACUAUUAAUGAAAGUUGUACAAAAAGCCAUAAAAAUUAAAAAUUUUCUAUAUAACAAUUUAUUUUAUUCUUCCCACACUUUAUUCCAUUUUAAGACAUUUCAUGUGCUUAGAGUUCAUAAUUUUUUUUAUAAUUACAAAUUUUUAAAGUGUAGUAUAUUCUCUCACCCAUUCAAUGAUUACUUGUUAAGUAUUUAAUUGUGUAUCUGGCAUAAUACACAUGAGGGUCAGGCACAGACACUGUCUCUGGUAUCAUGGUUAUUAUAGGUCAAUGUGGAGACCUCCACUAUGUAAAUAAUACAAAUAAUUCUAUAAAUUGUAAUUAAGUGGUAGGCAGAAAAACUACAGGUUGCAAUUAACGAGUAGAAGGUGGCAAUUUAACCAAGUCUGCAGGCUCAGAUAAGUCUUCCAUUAAAUAGUAUAUAAUCCAAGGCCCAGAAAAUAACACUGCAUUAGCUAGGAGGGGAAAACAGGAAUGAAUAUGCAGAUUAUGUCCCAUAAAGAAGGAAAGUCUGGGAGAAAAUAGACUGUGCUUCUUAAGUAAGGCAUUUCCUAUGAAUGCUCAGAUUCCUUCAAGUCUUAGUAUCUUAAAAAGCUUUUUAAAGGUAAUUGGUUAUUUACUAUUUAUUGUUUCAUUAGUAAAGAUGUUGCUUCCAUGUGUCUCUGUAUAGUACAUGUUUGAGACGACAGCUGUUAUAUUAAAUCAUGCUGUCUUAUUUGAUACAAGCGUUUCAUAAGGUUCUCAUUUUUAUUUCUAAAGAUGACUUUUUAAAAUUAUGGUUUUAUUUCCAACAUUUUUUUUUUUGACAG